This 253-nucleotide ribosomal RNA is filed under the name uncultured bacterium. RNAcentral describes it as "partial 16S ribosomal RNA". It matches the Rfam family "Bacterial small subunit ribosomal RNA", at positions 524 to 776 of the family's 1533-position model. The record is from RNAcentral.
UACGUAGGGAGCAAGCGUUGUCCGGAAUCAUUGGGCGUAAAGCGCGCGUAGGCGGCCCUGUAAGUCCGUUGUGAAAGUCAAAGGCUCAACCUUUGAAAGCCGAUGGAUACUGCAGGGCUAGAGUCCGGAAGAGGCGAGUGGAAUUCCUGGUGUAGCGGUGGAAUGCGUAGAGAUCCGGAAGAACACCGGUGGCGAAGGCGGUGAGCUGGGCAGUUGCUGACACUGAGGCGCGACAGCGUGGGGAGCAAACAGG